This 493-nucleotide ribosomal RNA is filed under the name uncultured bacterium. Its description in RNAcentral is "partial 16S ribosomal RNA". It matches the Rfam family "Bacterial small subunit ribosomal RNA", at positions 30 to 523 of the family's 1533-position model. The record is from RNAcentral.
AUUGAACGCUGGCGGCAUGCUUUACACAUGCAAGUCGAACGGUAGCAGGUUAAGCUGACGAGUGGCGAACGGGUGAGUAAUGCAUCGGAACGUGCCCGGUCGUGGGGGAUAACGCAGCGAAAGCUGCGCUAAUACCGCAUACGAUCUAAGGAUGAAAGCGGGGGACCGUAAGGCCUCGCGCGAUCGGAGCGGCCGAUGUCAGAUUAGGUAGUUGGUGGGGUAAAGGCUCACCAAGCCAACGAUCUGUAGCUGGUCUGAGAGGACGACCAGCCACACUGGGACUGAGACACGGCCCAGACUCCUACGGGAGGCAGCAGUGGGGAAUUUUGGACAAUGGGCGCAAGCCUGAUCCAGCAAUGCCGCGUGCAGGAAGAAGGCCUUCGGGUUGUAAACUGCUUUUGUACGGAGCGAAAAGGCUCCCUCUAAUACAGGGGGCUCAUGACGGUACCGUAAGAAUAAGCACCGGCUAACUUCGUGCCAGCAGCCGCCGUAA